UACGGGGGGGGCAAGCGUUGUUCGGAAUUACUGGGCGUAAAGGGUGCGUAGGCGGCGCGGUAAGUCGGGUGUGAAAUCUCGGAGCUUAACUCCGAAACUGCAUUCGAUACUGCCGUGCUUGAGGACUGGAGAGGAGACUGGAAUUUACGGUGUAGCGGUGAAGUGCGUAGAUAUCGUAAGGAAGACCAGUGGCGAAGGCGGGUCUCUGGACAGUUCCUGACGCUGAGGCACGAAGGUCAGGGGAGCAAACGGG
RNAcentral lists this ribosomal RNA (253 nucleotides) under uncultured bacterium. RNAcentral's name for it is "partial 16S ribosomal RNA". It matches the Rfam family "Bacterial small subunit ribosomal RNA", at positions 524 to 776 of the family's 1533-position model. The record is from RNAcentral.